UAAAGCUCUUUGCAUUAGAAAUGAAUCAUGUGUCUUACUCUCCAAUCCUUCUGAGACAGCAAAGUUCUUUGAUGACCAUUUGAAUCAACUUUUUACUACAUUCAAUCCUUUAGAACUAUUAUGUCUAUAGGGUCUCUUUAUUAAUGCUUUAAAACCUGAGAUCCCACACCUAGAGUCUCAAGGUUUUUGGAGUAUUCUAUCUAUUGGACUAUUAUUUCAGCAACUGCUUUGUUGGAGAGUUGGAUCAGGUUCAAAUAUUAAAAUUUGGUUUCACCCUGGAUUCUAAGUUUCUAACUAUUCAAGAUUUUAAAAUCACUAGCUCGGUUCAAGCCAAUGUAGAUUACACUUUGGUUUCUGAACUCAUUGACUCUGUUUAUAUCCUUAGCGUAUAUAUGUCAAAAAAUGUUUUAAACUUAUUUGUGUAAUGGAAAGUAGCACAUCAACUAUGAAAAUGUUGCCAUGGUGGUCUACUGAAAAAAUAUCAUCUUAACAGAUUUACCAGACAUGGAUACUUGCCCUCCAAUCUACUCUAUCAGACAUCAGACAUCCUUAUCAUAGAAAAUUGUAUUAUUUGUUUGGAGUGGAAAAUCCAAAGACAUUACAUUUAGUUGGUUUCUAUAUUUCCAACUGGAAAUGUUAUUCUUUUAGGCCUAUUGGAGUGCACAUUAUCUGUUUGUGAAAACUCCCAGCCCAGAGUAGCAGAGAGCUACCAGUUGCAAGCAUCAUGUAAUGGCUGCAAAUCGAAGUUCUGUGGUAUCACAGAAAGACAAGGGAUGAGCGGCUUUCAUCUGAGGAGCACUAAGAAUGGUUCAAGGAUACUCUCAUUCUGGAGCAUGUGAAACCUAAUGCUUCUGUACGUGUCCACCUUCAUGUGCUUGUCUCUGUUUUUUUAUUUUGUUCCCCUCCCUACAAAGAGGAUUUUAAUCUACUGUGGGUGCCAAUGUCUGGAUGAACCUGCUGAGUGAGCAGCUGCUUUUCUCAUUGUAUUUCCUUAUAGCUCUAUAAUUACUCUGCUCUAACAAGCUAAGAAUGGCUUUGUUUUAGCACUCUUUCUUCUGCUCCAGAUGAAGAUAGUGCUUUUACUGUUGCAGUCUAACCUGGUUACAACAUAAAUCACUCGACCCUAAGAAAGGUUCACUGUGAACAAAUUUAUAUGUUAAAGUACUACCCCUGAAUUUUCUCUAACUAGUUACCAUUAGAAAAACAAAUGCCUUCUCUAAGCAUUCGAAUUAGGUAAUGUUCUCCACCUUUUGUAUUAUAUUUCUUAUCCUGCCAUGCGUGUACAUGCAUCCCUUAUUUGCAUUCACAAUGUUCUUUGAUAAGCUUUUGAUUAUCAACAUUCAUAACCCAUUAAUGCAGCCUGCGUUUUCAGUCAUAUUAUGAAGAUGAAAAGUAAUUGGAUGCCAACUGAAGCUUUUCUGAUUAUGGAAAUUCAAUGCAAAUCUUUCUUCCUGGAAUCUUCUAAUGGAUGAACUAAUUGAGCUUCAUUUCUGCCUCCACAACUAUUGGUUCAGCCCUUACUGGUUUCUCUUUUCUUUUCCUUUUAUUGUUUGCUUUCCUUGCUCUAAUGAUAUAAUUAAACCUGCCUGAUGAGUUCUAUCUUUCCAAAUACAUCUUUCUGGGAGGCAACAGUUACAUUGUUACGUACUUGCAUGUCUUCCUCAUUGCAGCACAGAUGUAAGAUAUUGGAAAUCUCAUUGUUCAUCAUACAUAGGUCUAAAUAAAAAAGGCAUACCCAGUGCCUGAGGCUCCCACAUUGUGGGGUCUUGGGAGGGUCAUAAUGUAUGCAGUCUUACCCCCACGAGGCUGUUUUCCAACUCAAACCUGUGACGACCACUAGUAUAUAUUGUAUCCAAAAUAAAAAUUUAUCUGUAUGGAAUUUAUUUAUUUAUUUAUUUUAUUUUAUUUUAUUUUUUUUUUUGAUGGAGGAGAUACAUAUGUUGUCCAGAGGAUUUAUUGUUAACACAACUGUACUGUGACUAAGGUAUUGGCAAUGCUUCGUGGUGUUCAUAUGGUUCUGAAACCUACUGGAAUUUUCAUCUCAAUUUCUUUCUGUCAGGUAGAAAAACAAAUCAGCUAUGUUGUUCCCCUGCCCCAUGUACUAUUAUCUAAUUAUGCUACUUGUGAUUUUGUUUCUCUAUUAGCCGUACUUCAGGCAUCCAUUGUUUGAAGCUCCUGAGUUUACCUGGUCCGUUCAAUGAGAAACUUUUGGGGCUGCAUUCCGCUAUUUCUUCUACAUCCUGAAGAAGGUCCAUAUAAAACUAUAAUUAUGGCUACAAUCAUAUUCUUAUGUUCACAUAAGCUGUCUUUAUAUGGUCUUACCUCAUGAAACUCUUCCAUGAUUAUUUGACAUUUCCUGGUUUGUAUUCUUAUUGUUGUUGACCAUUCAUUGAGGGGAAGAAGUCUAACAGAUUGCAAAGGAUUCAACCAGAUAGAAUCAACGCGCCAUCUAUUUGUUUACUUCAUCAUGAGGAGUUAGAGAAUGAAGAUUACAUUUUUCGAACAACUAUUAAUGAGUUGGAUAAUUAAGUAUCAAUGUAACUUCUUUAUCCAAAUGGUCAUUCAUUAAAGGGACUUGCACUUCUUUUGCUCAUUAAAAAGUACUUUUUGUGUUGCUUA
Macadamia integrifolia is the source of this 2619-nucleotide long non-coding RNA. RefSeq lists it as uncharacterized. NCBI's taxonomy places the organism in Eukaryota, Viridiplantae, Streptophyta, Magnoliopsida, Proteales, Proteaceae. The transcript is spliced from 2 exons. The record is from RefSeq and is a predicted model, not a curated record.